AGGGGAUUUUUCCAUGUGCCUUUGUCAUUCCCACUCGUGCUCCUUUCUUCUCUCUCCUCCGUGCGGGAGGGGGAGAGGCAGGCGGCUUGCCCUCUCCUGUGCGAUGGGGUGCAGGGAGCAGCACGGUUCCUCGCCGAGCUCUUGCACAGAGCCGCCUUUUACCUCCAAUGCCUUUUUUACUGGCUGAAUCUUCCUUUUCCUCCUCUUCCACUUCCUCCGCAGCUUCCCUGGGAGGCACUGAGCCCCCCUCAUGAGCAUCUUCUUCAGCCUGGGCCCCUCUGGGGAGCAGCAGGGCUGGAAGCCACAGUGCCUCCGCUCAGGAAUAAGGGGGGAUGCGAUGGUUUCACCCCCGGAGCUGCUCUUUGCCUUCCCGCCGGGCUUUCCCCCGCCCGCGGCCCCAGCCAGCUCUGCCCUCCUCCUCCUCCUUCCCAAGUGCCUGCAUCGUUUUCCAAGAUCUGCAGUAUUUUUGUAACUUUUCCAUUUCUCUAGUAUUGAGCCUGCAGCUUUCAAAGUUCAUUUAUUCCCCGCCCCAGCUCAUGCCCUGCCCACUAACACCCAGCUCUCGCUGGGGUCCCGCAGCCCAGCAUCCCACCCCUCCUUGGCUUCGGGACCCCCAUCACUCCCCCUUUGCACUCGCUGAGGCUUCUCUCACUAUUUUGAUACUUUAAGCAUCCCAUAUUAAACAUUGAAGGAAACCAGCUCCCCCCGAGGCUCUGGGGUGGGGUGGGGGAUGCCGAUGUCUCCUUGGAAAGACGUGUUCAUCAAUAAAAUCUGGUUUUCCUGC
Molecule: long non-coding RNA, 784 nt
Organism: Pygoscelis adeliae (Adelie penguin)
Lineage: Eukaryota; Metazoa; Chordata; Aves; Sphenisciformes; Spheniscidae
Exons: 2
Source: RefSeq, a predicted model, not a curated record